GGCGCUGUGGCCCAGUGGAAAGAGCGCGGGCCUGGGAGCCGGAGGACCUGGGUUCUAAACCCAGCUCGGCCA
RNAcentral lists this transfer RNA (72 nucleotides) under Ornithorhynchus anatinus (platypus). It matches the Rfam family "tRNA". Rfam says of the family: Transfer RNA (tRNA) molecules are approximately 80 nucleotides in length. Their secondary structure includes four short double-helical elements and three loops (D, anti-codon, and T loops). The record is from Rfam by way of RNAcentral. Lineage: Eukaryota; Metazoa; Chordata; Mammalia; Monotremata; Ornithorhynchidae.